RNAcentral lists this ribosomal RNA (201 nucleotides) under uncultured bacterium. RNAcentral's name for it is "partial 16S ribosomal RNA". It matches the Rfam family "Bacterial small subunit ribosomal RNA", at positions 524 to 724 of the family's 1533-position model. The record is from RNAcentral.
UACAGAGGUCUCAAGCGUUGUUCGGAUUCAUUGGGCGUAAAGGGUGCGUAGGUGGCGCCGUAAGUCAGGUGUGAAAUUUCGGAGCUUAACUCCGAAACUGGCAUUUGAUACUGCGGUGCUUGAGGACUGGAGAGGAGACUGGAAUUUACGGUGUAGCAGUGAAAUGCGUAGAGAUCGUAAGGAAGACCAGUGGCGAGGCGG